RNAcentral lists this microRNA precursor (113 nucleotides) under Olea europaea subsp. europaea. Lineage: Eukaryota; Viridiplantae; Streptophyta; Magnoliopsida; Lamiales; Oleaceae. The record is from RNAcentral.
GUGUUCAAGAUGGGGAAGACAGGCACGUGAAAGACUAACUCCUUUAGCGAGCUUCAUAGACAAGCAGUACAUGAGUUAGUAAUCCACGUACCCUGCUUCUCCAUCUUGCUUAA